UUUACGAGUUAGGAAGUUUCUGUAAUACGGCCCAAGCCUCCCUUGUCCGUGCUGGGACAUCAGGAGGCUUGCCAUGCUGGUGCAUUGCGGCCUUACCAAGUCCUUGGGGACCUCUCUCCAGGUAGGAUUGGUUGCCGAUGAAUGUAUGGUGGAGGAGCACUGGCUGAGGGCGUCUUCUCUCUUGUCUCUGUUGAAGGGCCCUAAUGUGCUCGUCUCCAUCCUGUGGGAGGUUGUCGAGGCCCUGCUGGCCCGGUACCAUUCAGACCGCCCUGAGGAAUCCUCCAUCCCCACCCAAGGUAACAGCUUCAAACAAAGUGUUCUAAUUAUCAAUAAAUCCUUAUUCAAAGAAAUUCAAGAAGUUGAAAGGCAAUUUUUGUUAUGCCAGUUUAAUUAAACAACUUUAGCAAUUGUAGAAUAUAUCUCUUUAAUACUUACCAUAGUGAAAUUCAUUUCUGCACCAUUCGAGGAGCCCUUAACUAUGUGUUGGAUUGUAUUCAUAUGUUGAUGUCUUGGACUCUCUUAGUUCCCAGGGUGAUGCAGGAGAGGCAGGAGAUGGAGGAAAAGCUGCUCAGCCAGAGGCUUCCUGAGCAGCUCAGGGAGCAACUCCACGGGACGUUUGGCACGUGGGUCCAACACGGCAAACUCUUUGGCAGGGCUCUCCCAAUGAUGAGCACCGCAGAGCAGGACCUCAGAGGAGGGGACGCAGCCGUCCUCAGCAACACUCUGGCUGACGACCCUGUCGCUCUGGACCCCAGUCUGGACGCCCCUCAGAAGGAGCAGCCCGACAGCCCCAGUCGUUGUGAUCCGUCUGUGAUGGAGAACAGUAGCUGUGGACCUGUCGCUGGAGAUCCCCUUCCUCCAGCAGCUCAGCCGGAGAACGGAGAGUCUAACUCCGUCUCCACAACCGACCCGGUUGUGAUCCAGCGGUCCACCGUUGGAUUCGUGGCCCAGCUGUUCAGAGGCCGGGACGAAAUGUCCUCCCCGUCCUACAUCGACCGGUACCGGGCCUUCCAGAACCUGGUUGUCCGGGAAGUCCACCUCCUGCUGCAGGAGGAGGCCACCAUGAACCAGGACAACCCUGGGUUUGAGCGGACCCUGGAGCACCUGAAGGACCCUGUGCAGGAGGUCUGCUUUAGGUUUAGUUAUAAAACCAAACAACAAAUUCAAUUUGUUUAAAAAGGAAAGAAACUGUAAAGUACAACGGUUCGCUCUCUAUCACAUCCAUGCAUUGUUAACCUGCAUGGAUUUCCUAAUUUAAUAAAUGCCUGCAAUGUGAAGUUGGCAAUUUGCUUAGAAAAGUAAUAAAAUUCAUAAAACAUGACUUAAUGAUAAUAAUAAUACAUUUAAUUUAAAGGGUGCCUUUCAAGACACCCAAGGUCACCUUACAGAGCAUAAAGUUAUCAUAAAUCGUUUACAAACAAGACAUUGUAGAAAAAUAAUAAUAAUAAAUUAAUUAAUUAAUUAAUAAAUAAAACAAAAACAAGACAAACCAAACAAUCAAGACAGUGAUCAGUUAGACGUUGUAUGCGAGUUUGAACAGGUGAGUUUUGAGUUGUGACUUGAAGGUUGUAAUGGUGUCUGACUGUUUUAUGUGUGGGGGGAGGGAGUUCCAGAGCCUGGGUGCUGAACAGCUGAACAGUUUGUUACCGGUCCCAAGUGGCCAGGACGGUGGUAACAAAAAGAUUGUUGAGACCGGACUCCCUGAAAAGCAGGUAUACAUGUAUUACAAGGACUGAAGCAGCACUGCUUUUGUUUGGUCUUCGAAAUCCGUCAUACUCAUGAUCAUUCAAGAUGUAAUUUGUGAUGAUCAAAUGAUGUACAGUAUAUUGUGGUCCUGUUUUAUGUAGAAAGGAGGACUUGGUCAAAUGCAUAGAAUACUUGUAUAGAAAUGUGAUUUUAUAAUUUGGAUAGAAGGAUUAAAGUUCAGGUCAUUCAACAGGAGAAACUGGGUCUGCAGCUUCGCUGGGUCCUUGAGGAUAGGCUGAGAGAGGCCUUGCCCGGCGUGUGCCUGUCCAGGGACGGGCUCAUGAAGGACCCCCCGAACACCCUGCUGGCCUGCUCCCUGAUCGCCACAGAGGUCCUUGAUCACCUGAAGACCUCUGUGAGCUCUCCUGACUACAACAAUGAGGCAGAGGAGUGUCUUCACGGGGAACAGUUGUUGGCCCCCGCUAAGAUCAGUCAUCUCAGAUCCUGGUGUAACAGUCCUUCACAAAGGCCCUUACGUGGUGGGCUACACACAAAGAAAUGUUUAAGAUA
Gadus morhua (Atlantic cod) is the source of this 2256-nucleotide long non-coding RNA. NCBI's taxonomy places the organism in Eukaryota, Metazoa, Chordata, Actinopteri, Gadiformes, Gadidae. The record is from Ensembl.